GACGAACGCUGGCGGCGUGCUUAACACAUGCAAGUCGAACGGAAAGGCCCUGCUUUUGUGGGGUGCUCGAGUGGCGAACGGGUGAGUAACACGUGAGUAACCUGCCCUUGACUUUGGGAUAACUUCAGGAAACUGGGGCUAAUACCGGAUAGGAGCUCCUGCUGCAUGGUGGGGGUUGGAAAGUUUCGGCGGUUGGGGAUGGACUCGCGGCUUAUCAGCUUGUUGGUGGGGGAGUGGCUUACCCAGGCUUUGACGGGUAGCCGGCCUGAGAGGGUGACCGGCCACAUUGGGACUGAGAUACGGCCCAGACUCCUACGGGAGGCAGCAGUGGGGAAUAUUGCACAAUGGGCGGAAGCCUGAUGCAGCAACGCCGCGUGCGGGAUGACGGCCUUCGGGUUGUAAACCGCUUUCGCCUGUGACGAAGCGUGAGUGACGGUAAUGGGUAAAGAAGCACCGGCUAACUACGUG
RNAcentral lists this ribosomal RNA (468 nucleotides) under uncultured bacterium. RNAcentral's name for it is "partial 16S ribosomal RNA". It matches the Rfam family "Bacterial small subunit ribosomal RNA", at positions 28 to 507 of the family's 1533-position model. The record is from RNAcentral.